RNAcentral lists this ribosomal RNA (457 nucleotides) under uncultured bacterium. Its description in RNAcentral is "bacterial SSU rRNA". It matches the Rfam family "Bacterial small subunit ribosomal RNA", at positions 28 to 479 of the family's 1533-position model. The record is from RNAcentral.
GACGAACGCUGGCGGUGUGCUUCAAACAUGCAAGUCGAGCGUGGGUUGGCUGGUCCGCAAGGAUCGGUUCAACUCUAGCGGCGAACGGGUGAGUAACACGUGGGCAAUCUGCCCUGAAGACGGGGACAACCUCGGGAAACCGGGGCUAAUACCCGAUACCCUCACCGGGUGGCAUCAUCUGGUGUGGAAAGGUCGCAAGACGCUUCAGGAUGAGCCCGCGGCGUAUCAGCUAGUUGGUGGGGUAACGGCCCACCAAGGCUAAGACGCGUAGCUGGCCUGAGAGGGUGGUCAGCCACACUGGGACUGAGACACGGCCCAGACUCCUACGGGAGGCAGCAGUUGGGAAUUUUGGGCAAUGGGCGCAAGCCUGACCCAGCGACACCGCGUGGGGGAUGAAGGCCUUCGGGUCGUAAACCCCUGUCAGGAGGGAAGAAGCCCCGCAAGGGGUGACGGUACC